GUGGGAUCUUCCCGGACCGGGGCACGAACCCAUGUCCCCUGCAUCGGCAGGCAGACUCUCAACCACUGCGCCACCAGGGAAGCCCCAUGCAUAAAUAUAUUAAUGUGUUUGACUUCGGGUUGCUGCCCCAGGCUUCACUGGGACGUUUAUGGUAUAUACACUGUAUCACCUUCCCCCAAAUCGAAAAAGUUCUGGAUUCCAAGACACAUCAAUCCUCAAGGGAUUGUGAAUCUGUAUGACAAAGGGACAGCGUGCAGGGGAGUCGAGGAUGUUGACCAGGAGUGACUAUCCUGAUGGACUGUGGAAUCACGUGCACCUGAGUAAGGAGAGAAGGGAGCAUGUGAGGAGAGGAGGAGGCAUGCUGAAAAGGUGGCAGGAUCAAUGGGUUAUCGAUCCUGGUGGGGCUGAAGAAUUAUUGGAGUCUGAAUCCCGGAAAGAGAGGUUGAGAUUUGUUUCAGCUGGGCUUUUAAUCCUUAAAGGACAUAAUUACAGAAUACAAGUUAGUACUGCCCUUUUGGUUUCUUACUUGUGAAUCCUUUUUAGUAAGAUCUUCUCUAGUUCUGAAUGACUCCCUCUUUAUUCUUUCGGUACAAACGAUAUAUUGUUUGUAUUCUUUCAUUAAAAGAAUCAUUGCCGGUGGGAAGCCCCAAGCCCGUACCUCUGGGACUGAACGGCGGCGGGUGGGCUGCGGUCAGCCUCUGCAGGCCUGAGCAGGCCUCCUGAGAGUCUAGGGCGUUGAGGUGAAAAAUAUGGCUUUGAUAUCUUCAUGGAAAACUGCAUUAUUUCAGUCCUGAAUCUGGUUCGGUUCCCUUAUUGACUCAUUACUAUAUUAAAAAUGUUUAUUUAGCA
Long non-coding RNA from Aethalodelphis obliquidens (Pacific white-sided dolphin), 849 nucleotides. RefSeq lists it as uncharacterized. The transcript has 2 exons. The record is from RefSeq and is a predicted model, not a curated record. NCBI's taxonomy places the organism in Eukaryota, Metazoa, Chordata, Mammalia, Artiodactyla, Delphinidae.